AUACGGAGGGUGCAAGCGUUAAUCGGAAUUACUGGGCGUAAAGCGCGCGUAGGCGGAUAUUUAAGUCCCAUGUGAAAGCCCUGGGCUCAACCUGGGAACUGCAUGGGAUACUGGGUAUCUAGAAUACAGUAGAGGGUAGUGGAAUUUCAGGUGUAGCGGUGAAAUGCGUAGAGAUCUGAAGGAACAUCAGUGGCGAAGGCGACUACCUGGACUGAUAUUGACGCUGAGGUGCGAAAGCGUGGGGAGCAAACGGGAUUAGAAACCCUGGUAGUCC
This 274-nucleotide ribosomal RNA is filed under the name uncultured bacterium. RNAcentral describes it as "partial 16S ribosomal RNA". It matches the Rfam family "Bacterial small subunit ribosomal RNA", at positions 523 to 796 of the family's 1533-position model. The record is from RNAcentral.